GGGUUGUGAGGUUAAGCGACUAAGCGUACACGGUGGAUGCCCUGGCAGUCAGAGGCGAUGAAGGACGUGCUAAUCUGCGAUAAGCGUCGGUAAGGUGAUAUGAACCGUUAUAACCGGCGAUUUCCGAAUGGGGAAACCCAGUGUGAUUCGUCACACUAUCAUUAACUGAAUCCAUAGGUUAAUGAGGCGAACCGGGGGAACUGAAACAUCUAAGUACCCCGAGGAAAAGAAAUCAACCGAGAUUCCCCCAGUAGCGGCGAGCGAACGGGGAGGAGCCCAGAGCCUGAAUCAGUGUGUGUGUUAGUGGAAGCGUCUGGAAAGGCGCGCGAUACAGGGUGACAGCCCCGUACACAAAAAUGCACAUACUGUGAGCUCGAUGAGUAGGGCGGGACACGUGGUAUCCUGUCUGAAUAUGGGGGGACCAUCCUCCAAGGCUAAAUACUCCUGACUGACCGAUAGUGAACCAGUACCGUGAGGGAAAGGCGAAAAGAACCCCGGCGAGGGGAGUGAAAAAGAACCUGAAACCGUGUACGUACAAGCAGUGGGAGCCUCUUAAUGGGGUGACUGCGUACCUUUUGUAUAAUGGGUCAGCGACUUAUAUUCUGUAGCAAGGUUAACCGAAUAGGGGAGCCGAAGGGAAACCGAGUCUUAACUGGGCGUUAAGUUGCAGGGUAUAGACCCGAAACCCGGUGAUCUAGCCAUGGGCAGGUUGAAGGUUGGGUAACACUAACUGGAGGACCGAACCGACUAAUGUUGAAAAAUUAGCGGAUGACUUGUGGCUGGGGGUGAAAGGCCAAUCAAACCGGGAGAUAGCUGGUUCUCCCCGAAAGCUAUUUAGGUAGCGCCUCGUGAAUUCAUCUCCGGGGGUAGAGCACUGUUUCGGCAAGGGGGUCAUCCCGACUUACCAACCCGAUGCAAACUGCGAAUACCGGAGAAUGUUAUCACGGGAGACACACGGCGGGUGCUAACGUCCGUCGUGAAGAGGGAAACAACCCAGACCGCCAGCUAAGGUCCCAAAGUCAUGGUUAAGUGGGAAACGAUGUGGGAAGGCCCAGACAGCCAGGAUGUUGGCUUAGAAGCAGCCAUCAUUUAAAGAAAGCGUAAUAGCUCACUGGUCGAGUCGGCCUGCGCGGAAGAUGUAACGGGGCUAAACCAUGCACCGAAGCUGCGGCAGCGACACUUAUGUGUUGUUGGGUAGGGGAGCGUUCUGUAAGCCUGCGAAGGUGUGCUGUGAGGCAUGCUGGAGGUAUCAGAAGUGCGAAUGCUGACAUAAGUAACGAUAAAGCGGGUGAAAAGCCCGCUCGCCGGAAGACCAAGGGUUCCUGUCCAACGUUAAUCGGGGCAGGGUGAGUCGACCCCUAAGGCGAGGCCGAAAGGCGUAGUCGAUGGGAAACAGGUUAAUAUUCCUGUACUUGGUGUUACUGCGAAGGGGGGACGGAGAAGGCUAUGUUGGCCGGGCGACGGUUGUCCCGGUUUAAGCGUGUAGGCUGGUUUUCCAGGCAAAUCCGGAAAAUCAAGGCUGAGGCGUGAUGACGAGGCACUACGGUGCUGAAGCAACAAAUGCCCUGCUUCCAGGAAAAGCCUCUAAGCAUCAGGUAACAUCAAAUCGUACCCCAAACCGACACAGGUGGUCAGGUAGAGAAUACCAAGGCGCUUGAGAGAACUCGGGUGAAGGAACUAGGCAAAAUGGUGCCGUAACUUCGGGAGAAGGCACGCUGAUACGUAGGUGAAGCGACUUGCUCGUGGAGCUGAAAUCAGUCGAAGAUACCAGCUGGCUGCAACUGUUUAUUAAAAACACAGCACUGUGCAAACACGAAAGUGGACGUAUACGGUGUGACGCCUGCCCGGUGCCGGAAGGUUAAUUGAUGGGGUUAGCGGUAACGCGAAGCUCUUGAUCGAAGCCCCGGUAAACGGCGGCCGUAACUAUAACGGUCCUAAGGUAGCGAAAUUCCUUGUCGGGUAAGUUCCGACCUGCACGAAUGGCGUAAUGAUGGCCAGGCUGUCUCCACCCGAGACUCAGUGAAAUUGAACUCGCUGUGAAGAUGCAGUGUACCCGCGGCAAGACGGAAAGACCCCGUGAACCUUUACUAUAGCUUGACACUGAACAUUGAGCCUUGAUGUGUAGGAUAGGUGGGAGGCUUUGAAGUGUGGACGCCAGUCUGCAUGGAGCCGACCUUGAAAUACCACCCUUUAAUGUUUGAUGUUCUAACGUUGGCCCCUAAUCGGGGUUGCGGACAGUGUCUGGUGGGUAGUUUGACUGGGGCGGUCUCCUCCUAAAGAGUAACGGAGGAGCACGAAGGUUGGCUAAUCCUGGUCGGACAUCAGGAGGUUAGUGCAAUGGCAUAAGCCAGCUUGACUGCGAGCGUGACGGCGCGAGCAGGUGCGAAAGCAGGUCAUAGUGAUCCGGUGGUUCUGAAUGGAAGGGCCAUCGCUCAACGGAUAAAAGGUACUCCGGGGAUAACAGGCUGAUACCGCCCAAGAGUUCAUAUCGACGGCGGUGUUUGGCACCUCGAUGUCGGCUCAUCACAUCCUGGGGCUGAAGUAGGUCCCAAGGGUAUGGCUGUUCGCCAUUUAAAGUGGUACGCGAGCUGGGUUUAGAACGUCGUGAGACAGUUCGGUCCCUAUCUGCCGUGGGCGCUGGAGAACUGAGGGGGGCUGCUCCUAGUACGAGAGGACCGGAGUGGACGCAUCACUGGUGUUCGGGUUGUCAUGCCAAUGGCACUGCCCGGUAGCUAAAUGCGGAAGAGAUAAGUGCUGAAAGCAUCUAAGCACGAAACUUGCCCCGAGAUGAGUUCUCCCUGACUCCCUGAGAGUCCUGAAGGAACGUUGAAGACGACGACGUUGAUAGGCCGGGUGUGUAAGCGCAGCGAUGCGUUGAGCUAACCGGUACUAAUGAACCGUGAGGCUUAACCUUACAACGCCGAAG
This 2926-nucleotide ribosomal RNA is filed under the name Escherichia coli. Its description in RNAcentral is "bacterial LSU rRNA". It matches the Rfam family "Bacterial large subunit ribosomal RNA". The record is from RNAcentral. Lineage: Bacteria; Pseudomonadati; Pseudomonadota; Gammaproteobacteria; Enterobacterales; Enterobacteriaceae.